Molecule: ribosomal RNA, 2901 nt
Filed under: Escherichia coli
Lineage: Bacteria; Pseudomonadati; Pseudomonadota; Gammaproteobacteria; Enterobacterales; Enterobacteriaceae
Description: 23S ribosomal RNA
Rfam family: Bacterial large subunit ribosomal RNA
Source: RNAcentral
UUAAGCGACUAAGCGUACACGGUGGAUGCCCUGGCAGUCAGAGGCGAUGAAGGACGUGCUAAUCUGCGAUAAGCGUCGGUAAGGUGAUAUGAACCGUUAUAACCGGCGAUUUCCGAAUGGGGAAACCCAGUGUGAUUCGUCACACUAUCAUUAACUGAAUCCAUAGGUUAAUGAGGCGAACCGGGGGAACUGAAACAUCUAAGUACCCCGAGGAAAAGAAAUCAACCGAGAUUCCCCCAGUAGCGGCGAGCGAACGGGGAGCAGCCCAGAGCCUGAAUCAGUGUGUGUGUUAGUGGAAGCGUCUGGAAAGGCGCGCGAUACAGGGUGACAGCCCCGUACACAAAAAUGCACAUGCUGUGAGCUCGAUGAGUAGGGCGGGACACGUGGUAUCCUGUCUGAAUAUGGGGGGACCAUCCUCCAAGGCUAAAUACUCCUGACUGACCGAUAGUGAACCAGUACCGUGAGGGAAAGGCGAAAAGAACCCCGGCGAGGGGAGUGAAAAAGAACCUGAAACCGUGUACGUACAAGCAGUGGGAGCCUCUUUAUGGGGUGACUGCGUACCUUUUGUAUAAUGGGUCAGCGACUUAUAUUCUGUAGCAAGGUUAACCGAAUAGGGGAGCCGAAGGGAAACCGAGUCUUAACUGGGCGUUAAGUUGCAGGGUAUAGACCCGAAACCCGGUGAUCUAGCCAUGGGCAGGUUGAAGGUUGGGUAACACUAACUGGAGGACCGAACCGACUAAUGUUGAAAAAUUAGCGGAUGACUUGUGGCUGGGGGUGAAAGGCCAAUCAAACCGGGAGAUAGCUGGUUCUCCCCGAAAGCUAUUUAGGUAGCGCCUCGUGAAUUCAUCUCCGGGGGUAGAGCACUGUUUCGGCAAGGGGGUCAUCCCGACUUACCAACCCGAUGCAAACUGCGAAUACCGGAGAAUGUUAUCACGGGAGACACACGGCGGGUGCUAACGUCCGUCGUGAAGAGGGAAACAACCCAGACCGCCAGCUAAGGUCCCAAAGUCAUGGUUAAGUGGGAAACGAUGUGGGAAGGCCCAGACAGCCAGGAUGUUGGCUUAGAAGCAGCCAUCAUUUAAAGAAAGCGUAAUAGCUCACUGGUCGAGUCGGCCUGCGCGGAAGAUGUAACGGGGCUAAACCAUGCACCGAAGCUGCGGCAGCGACACUAUGUGUUGUUGGGUAGGGGAGCGUUCUGUAAGCCUGCGAAGGUGUGCUGUGAGGUAUGCUGGAGGCAUCAGAAGUGCGAAUGCUGACAUAAGUAACGAUAAAGCGGGUGAAAAGCCCGCUCGCCGGAAGACCAAGGGUUCCUGUCCAACGUUAAUCGGGGCAGGGUGAGUCGACCCCUAAGGCGAGGCCGAAAGGCGUAGUCGAUGGGAAACAGGUUAAUAUUCCUGUACUUGGUGUUACUGCGAAGGGGGGACGGAGAAGGCUAUGUUGGCCGGGCGACGGUUGUCCCGGUUUAAGCGUGUAGGCUGGUUUUCCAGGCAAAUCCGGAAAAUCAAGGCUGAGGCGUGAUGACGAGGCACUACGGUGCUGAAGCAACAAAUGCCCUGCUUCCAGGAAAAGCCUCUAAGCAUCAGGUAACAUCAAAUCGUACCCCAAACCGACACAGGUGGUCAGGUAGAGAAUACCAAGGCGCUUGAGAGAACUCGGGUGAAGGAACUAGGCAAAAUGGUGCCGUAACUUCGGGAGAAGGCACGCUGAUAUGUAGGUGAAGCGACUUGCUCGUGGAGCUGAAAUCAGUCGAAGAUACCAGCUGGCUGCAACUGUUUAUUAAAAACACAGCACUGUGCAAACACGAAAGUGGACGUAUACGGUGUGACGCCUGCCCGGUGCCGGAAGGUUAAUUGAUGGGGUUAGCGGUAACGCGAAGCUCUUGAUCGAAGCCCCGGUAAACGGCGGCCGUAACUAUAACGGUCCUAAGGUAGCGAAAUUCCUUGUCGGGUAAGUUCCGACCUGCACGAAUGGCGUAAUGAUGGCCAGGCUGUCUCCACCCGAGACUCAGUGAAAUUGAACUCGCUGUGAAGAUGCAGUGUACCCGCGGCAAGACGGAAAGACCCCGUGAACCUUUACUAUAGCUUGACACUGAACAUUGAGCCUUGAUGUGUAGGAUAGGUGGGAGGCUUUGAAGUGUGGACGCCAGUCUGCAUGGAGCCGACCUUGAAAUACCACCCUUUAAUGUUUGAUGUUCUAACGUUGGCCCCUAAUCGGGGUUGCGGACAGUGUCUGGUGGGUAGUUUGACUGGGGCGGUCUCCUCCUAAAGAGUAACGGAGGAGCACGAAGGUUGGCUAAUCCUGGUCGGACAUCAGGAGGUUAGUGCAAUGGCAUAAGCCAGCUUGACUGCGAGCGUGACGGCGCGAGCAGGUGCGAAAGCAGGUCAUAGUGAUCCGGUGGUUCUGAAUGGAAGGGCCAUCGCUCAACGGAUAAAAGGUACUCCGGGGAUAACAGGCUGAUACCGCCCAAGAGUUCAUAUCGACGGCGGUGUUUGGCACCUCGAUGUCGGCUCAUCACAUCCUGGGGCUGAAGUAGGUCCCAAGGGUAUGGCUGUUCGCCAUUUAAAGUGGUACGCGAGCUGGGUUUAGAACGUCGUGAGACAGUUCGGUCCCUAUCUGCCGUGGGCGCUGGAGAACUGAGGGGGGCUGCUCCUAGUACGAGAGGACCGGAGUGGACGCAUCACUGGUGUUCGGGUUGUCAUGCCAAUGGCACUGCCCGGUAGCUAAAUGCGGAAGAGAUAAGUGCUGAAAGCAUCUAAGCACGAAACUUGCCCCGAGAUGAGUUCUCCCUGACUCCUUGAGAGUCCUGAAGGAACGUUGAAGACGACGACGUUGAUAGGCCGGGUGUGUAAGCGCAGCGAUGCGUUGAGCUAACCGGUACUAAUGAACCGUGAGGCUUAACCU